CCUACGGGAGGCAGCAGUGAGGAAUAUUGGUCAAUGGACGAGAGUCUGAACCAGCCAAGUAGCGUGAAGGAUGACUGCCCUACGGGUUGUAAACUGCUUUUAUAUGGGGAUAACAUGUUCCACGUGUGGAGUUUUGUAGGUACCGUAUGAAUAAGGAUCGGCUAACUCCGUGCCAGCAGCCGCGGUAAUACGGAGGGUCCGAGCGUUAACCGGAUUUAUUGGGGUUAAAGGGAGCGUAGGUGGAUGGUUAAGUCAGUUGUUAAAGUUUGCGGCUCAACCGUAGCAUUGCAGUUGAAACUGGCAGUCUUGAGUUCAGUAGAGGUGGGCGGAAUUCGUGGUGUAGCGGUGAAAUGCUUAGAUAUCACGAAGAACCCCGAUUGCGAAGGCAGCUUACCGGAGUGCAACUGACACUGAGGCUCGAAGGUGCGGGUAUCAAACAGGAUUAGAUACCCUAGUAGUC
Molecule: ribosomal RNA, 460 nt
Filed under: uncultured bacterium
Lineage: Bacteria
Description: partial 16S ribosomal RNA
Rfam family: Bacterial small subunit ribosomal RNA
Source: RNAcentral